Molecule: long non-coding RNA, 270 nt
Filed under: Panax ginseng (ginseng)
Lineage: Eukaryota; Viridiplantae; Streptophyta; Magnoliopsida; Apiales; Araliaceae
Description: long non-coding RNA (PGIN_LNC002327)
Source: RNAcentral
GUCAUUCAAGUAGCACAUAGUGUUACCUUCAAUCCUUAACUUGCAAAAAUGGUUAUUUGCAAGGUUGAGCUCGACAGCCCAACAAAAUCUAAUAUUUUUCAUGCAUCACGUUGUGACGCCCCCAAAACAGGUAUACAUCACCCAUCUUGGGUCACCAGAUAUUACACUACAUAAAUCAAAUACAAACUUAAUUAUACAACUGUCGAGCAAAAUACGACAAAACAUAGCUGAGAGUUUAAAUACGAAUAUUGCCUUCUAGACAAUAUCCAC